This 467-nucleotide ribosomal RNA is filed under the name uncultured bacterium. Its description in RNAcentral is "partial 16S ribosomal RNA". It matches the Rfam family "Bacterial small subunit ribosomal RNA", at positions 28 to 506 of the family's 1533-position model. The record is from RNAcentral.
GACGAACACUGGCGGCGUGCUUAACACAUGCAAGUCGAACGGAAAGGCCCUGCUUUUGUGGGGUGCUCGAGUGGCGAACGGGUGAGUAACACGUGAGUAACCUGCCCUUGACUUUGGGAUAACUUCAGGAAACUGGGGCUAAUACCGGAUAGGAGCUCCUGCUGCAUGGUGGGGGUUGGAAAGUUUCGGCGGUUGGGGAUGGACUCGCGGCUUAUCAGCUUGUUGGUGGGGUAGUGGCUUACCAAGGCUUUGACGGGUAGCCGGCCUGAGAGGGUGACCGGCCACAUUGGGACUGAGAUACGGCCCAGACUCCUACGGGAGGCAGCAGUGGGGAAUAUUGCACAAUGGGCGGAAGCCUGAUGCAGCAACGCCGCGUGCGGGAUGACGGCCUUCGGGUUGUAAACCGCUUUCGCCUGUGACGAAGCGUGAGUGACGGUAAUGGGUAAAGAAGCACCGGCUAACUACGU